GAAUAUAAUUUAUUCAUAAUAAUACAUUGAAUAGGAAAUUUUCGUUGUUUUACUUUUUUGUAUGAUUAAUAUUUUGAAUUGAAAAAUGUUCGAAACCUAUUUGCCGCAAGUUAUUCGGUAUAAAUACAUAAUUCAAAGUCAUGACUGUCACAACACUGUAUUUACAUUUAAAAACAUUUGUUCCAACAUAAAAGAUCCAAUAUGCGAUCAAAAUUGCAAACUGUGUCAAAAUAAAGUAUUUAAUAUCAUGCAUUUAUUACUGCUAUCCAGAUAGAAUGGCAAUUGAAGAUUUCAGUCUCAAUCAUAUCAAACUGUUCAUUCAUAAGGAUUACACAACUAUAUUUUUGAAUAGACUUUGUGUAAAAGCAAAUGAAAAAAACUAUCAGAAUGAUGAAAUUGAGCCAUUAAAGUGUUAUGAGUAAAGUAGUACUGUGGUGUUGGAAAUACGGACCAACUUUACGACCUAAAUUGACUGAUUAGCCAGUCACUAUCAAACAGAUAACUAAACUCUUUAACUUAUCGAGGUCAUUAACAUUCACAAGGCAGUCUGUUGCAGUCCUAGCACUGAGUUAAAUCUUGAAUCUUGUGUCGGUUGAUAGCUUAAAACUGUGAAAUGAAGAAUACUGGGUUGAUAGGAGACAGAGAUGAGAAGAAGAAAGUCUUGAUUUGGCACGUCAGACAAAAUUAAUAGAUUCAUAAGAUUAUUUUAGAACUAAUAGGAUAAAUAAUACGUAGAAAGACCAAAUGUUAACCAACAAAUUAACAGGAACUGCAACUUUAAAUGUUUGGAGUAAUUUUUACUCCACAUCUGCUGUCAUAUUUCAUAAUUCACACAUCGUAUAGAGACAUCUGAGUAUCAUCAAUGGUUACAAGAAAACGCAAGGAUCUUUUUAUUAAUCUUUAUAAAUAAAGUUAUGUAGUACCUAAA
Molecule: long non-coding RNA, 928 nt
Organism: Homalodisca vitripennis (glassy-winged sharpshooter)
Lineage: Eukaryota; Metazoa; Arthropoda; Insecta; Hemiptera; Cicadellidae
Exons: 2
Source: RefSeq, a predicted model, not a curated record